This 1038-nucleotide long non-coding RNA is filed under the name Mus musculus (house mouse). RNAcentral's name for it is "long non-coding RNA chr12:44598993-44600031". Lineage: Eukaryota; Metazoa; Chordata; Mammalia; Rodentia; Muridae. The record is from RNAcentral.
UCAUUGUGAAGAGUGUUGCUGUAGUGUUCUCUAGAGCUUCAAUGUCUCUGUGGACAUUGUUGUUAAACUCGUGACUAUGUCUAGCUGGUGUUAGUCUUUUUGAGAGACUAUUAGGAACAGUGUGUACAGUAUAUACUUGCUACAUGAGUUACUUAUGACAGUUGCAUCCACUAAUGCUCGCUGAGACUCUGAAACCUGUUCUUUGCUCCCGGACCUUCCUAGGCUUUUUAUCCUUCCGGGUGUCACAGCAGCAGAGUCCCACUUACUAUACUAUCUGCGUUCAGUCCUUUGGGGGGCAUAAACAUUGCGUAUUGUGACACCUGCUGGCAUUUGUGCCCUACUCAAAGAAUUGAAGUCAAAGCUCUCAAGUGAAAUUUUAAAUUUUAGUUCAGAAAAUGCAGGGCAAGACACACGCAGUGCCUUCAGACAAUUAGCAUUCCCUGACUCCUGUACUCUGUAUCAGCCAGUGUGGGCAACUUCAUCCUACGCUACUGUUGUUGGAAAGGAACUUUUCCAAGGCAGAGAUAAUUCGAACUGAAACUGGGAGCAUAGGAACAACUUUAUUUGAAGUGGUGUUCCCCACACAAAUAUCAGGCCUCCAAAGCUCUGUCAUUGUCGGGUGUACAGGAUGGUUUUGUUGUCUUUUGUGGUUUCUAGCCAAACAAGUCAAGUUGAAAAAAGGAAAAAAUGGUAUGGUUGGAAAUGGAUAGAAAACCCAAUGAUUGCAGAAGUAAAAGCGUACAACAGCAUGCCUAAAGUACUAAAUGAUUCACUCUGCCUAGACAAGCUUUCAAAUUCCGCAGCAUUCAGCAACGUGUAUGCAAAUUGCAACAGGCACACUCCAGAACCUGAGAAACCUGACCAGUGCUUAAUUAGGCCAGCAGUCAAAGAGAUUACACCUCGAGUCUAAAGAACAAUACUAUAUCCUAUCAUAGCCAUAAACAAUGUGUGUGAAAUGGCUUACCUCCAAUAUAGAAACCUAUGACCACCUAUGGUUGAAGGGAUGCUCAGUUUCAUUUGCCAAUAAAUUGGUUUCUC